Molecule: ribosomal RNA, 305 nt
Filed under: uncultured bacterium
Lineage: Bacteria
Description: bacterial SSU rRNA
Rfam family: Bacterial small subunit ribosomal RNA
Source: RNAcentral
CCUACGGGACGCAGCAGUGGGGAAUAUUGCACAAUGGGGGAAACCCUGAUGCAGCAACGCCGCGUGAAGGAAGACGGUUUUCGGAUUGUAAACUUCUUUUCUUAGUGAAGAAGCAAGUGACGGUAGCUAAGGAAUAAGCAUCGACUAACUACGUGCCAGCAGCCGCGGUAAUACGUAGGGGGCAAGCGUUAUCCGGAUUUACCGGGUGUAAAGGGGGCGCAGACGGCGAUGCAAGCCAGGAGUGAAAGCCCGGGGCCCAACCCCGGGACUGCUCUUGGAACUGCGUGGCUGGAGUGCAGGAGGGG